CAGCCUUUUCCAAAGCACGGAAAAAGCAGCCUGCUCCCUGCACAGGGGAGCAGGCUGUGGAAGGGAAGGGAUGGACUCAGCCAUGGAUCUGCUGGACUUGGGCCUGCUUGCUCUCAGCACAGGGAUUGCCAUUUAUCCCACUUGUCACCAGCAUGGCAGGAUCCUCUCUGCUCCUGCUUAUCACAUCGGGGUGUGAUACAAUACCUAAUUAUAAAAUCAAUCAUUAGCAGCUCUGUAAAGUCAGAGGAAAUACUAUCAUACAUGUCUGGUGUGGUUUUCCAUAACUUCCCACAGCUGGAAGCAAGAGGUGGAAAAAUGAUGUCCAGUCUGACUGGUGAAACUGUCUCAAACCAGCAGUUAGUGAAAGACUGCAGGAUCUAUCACAGGAUCCCUCUAUCACCUAUGCAUAUGCUGUGAUAAAAACCACUAUCAUAAUUACAUUUAUUUAAUACUACCAGUAGCUCUGCCAUUUUCUGGUCACUGUAAUAAAAAAAAAAAAAAAAAGAUUAAUAAUAAUACUAAGCCCUGGAGCAAACAAAAGUCUGACUUAGUAGAAAUAUUUCUCAAGCAACUACUCAGCUGGACUUACACAAUGGAAUUCAUCUUGGAUUAAGUAUUGUAUUUGUUUUUUUAAUGGAUAAAUAGAGAAAGGAAAUUUAAGCUAUCCAAUGUAAUCUUGUUUAAUAAAAAUCUGCAUGUCAUUACCUCUUCUUCAUAUCUGCACAGCCAACACAGCACUGCCUGAAUGUUCCCAAAAAUUAAUAACACAAACACAAUUGUGCAAAACUGUUUUCCAAAGCAUAACAAAAACUUUUGCCCUCUUUUAGCCCACAUGAAAACUGGCUUUGCUGUUCAGCGAGCCAUAUCUAAGAGUACAAUAAAAAUACCCUUGUGCAUGCACAAUGCUUAAUUUUCACAAAAUUUUAUGCUGAAAUAACCCAAUUUUAAAGGGCUGUAAAGCAACAUGUUUCUAAAGUCACAUCUCAAGUGCUCUGGCAUGUCCUUUUGAAAAGCUAGUGGAAUGAAGACAAGAUCUGAAAGCAGUACAGAAUGAUGGCACCACUUGGAACCACAACAAAAUUAUUUCUAUCUUCACUCUCAUUUAAAAAAAAAAAAGCCUAAGAGCUGAGUAUGGAUUAAAUAUAGUAAUUGAAAUCUGGCUGAGAAGCUGCGAACUUUUAUGCCAAGUUCUAGCCUGAAAUGAAUUUAAAUGGUCACAAGUAAAAAAAAUCCACAAAGGGGAGAUUGCAAAGAAAUCCUAGCAGGGAAAUAAAAAUAGCAUCAUGAACAAAUAGCGUAAUCUUAAAAAGGGAAGCAAAGAAAGCAGGAACUGGUAAAUAUUCUUGAACUUCUGUAUAAAAGAACUAGAAAAAAGUAGGACAGCAGAGCUGGGGUCACUGUAGAAAACCAAGUGAAGGUGUUUGGGGUCACUGUAGAAAACCAAGUGAAGGUGUUUGUUUUGGUAUUUGAAAUACAGGAGUGAGGUCAGACUGUGAGGGGUGACCUGAGGGCUGUCAAACUAUUGAGAGAAACUCCAAGGCCUGCCUGGCAAUUGCUCCACACUGGCCAUGACCCAAUCAACUUCCCAGUGUUUUACUGUAAAAUAGUUUGCAAGUACCUGUGCAGUUCUAAAAUGUAACUUGUAAUGCAACCCUAUAUUACUAUAGAUUGGCAGUGUAAUACAUAUUUUAUUUUUUUCUAUGCUCACUGUACAUACAGAGCUUCUUAUACCAACAAUUAACAAUGGCUUUACAAGGGAUUAGUGAGAUUUAGAGAAGGUUUGGGGGUCCAAACUGGUGAUCCCCCUUUGCAGAGAGAGGACCCCUGCCUGCGGCAGAAACAAUAUUUAAUGUACAAUUAGGCACAACGGGUCAGUGUAUUUCCAGAGCUGAGGCAGUUGGCUGUGGGACUGGUGGCCAUUAUCACACCAACAGGCUCAGGGCAAAAGGGAUUAGGAACCCAUCUGAUGAUUGGUAACUGCCCCACAGCAUUUUCUCUUUAUUGUGUAACAGGGUGAAUAAAUCAUCUUGUUUUCCUACAUAACAACUCUUAAGGUUGUCCUUGCUGUAUUUAUUGCUCUUUCUGCACAUGAACAGCAAAGGUAAUGCUGUACAUUCUGGGGCAUUUGAGGACCUCCUAGAAAUGACUGCAUAGGGAGACAUCAGGAGGUGGUGCUCUUCCUUAAUACAAAAAGGAACAAAAUACAAGCCAUGGAGAAUUUCUGGAGUCUUUGGCACAAUUCCUGAGAGAUAUGGUGCCUAAAAUUCCUCAAAUACCCCAUGGGAAUUGUGGGGCACCUGUCCAAUUGUGUCCUUUCUGGGUAGCUGACAAGCUUGGUGCAUUGCAUGUCAGCCUCCUGCAUCCCUAGGUACUUCCACCAGAGCCUUGGGAAGGUGGGAUCUGAUAGGAUCAGGUCUGUGGAAAGGGAUUUAUGGACACUGAUGAAAUGCAUUGAGGUCUUUUUCAAGUAGUAUUGACAGGAAAUACACUGGUAUUUCCAAAUAAACUUGCUGCCACAGUAGGGCUGCAGGUGGAACUUGUCAACCUAACACUUCCUGUACAGUUCCUAUAAUAAACCCCUAUUUCCCGAAAGGGAAUGCCCGCAUAAUAAUAAUAAUAGAUAUUAAUAACAUGCAUACUUUCGUGUCAAGUUUGAAUUUUGAGGAAAUGCAGUGAAGAAACUUAAGGCUGGAAGUUUCCACCCGUCUCCCCCCUGCACACAGCAUCCUUCCCGCUGCAGCAGGCGAUGCCUUUGGAACCGCUGCCUUUUCCCUGGGAGCGCCGAGCGCUGCGGCAGGUGAUGCGGCCGCUGCCCCCGGCCCCACCGGCCCCGGCAGCCAAGGGAGGAGGAAGAACCUCAACCCCCAAACCUGCGGGAACAACUUCCUGUCCUUCAUGCCUCCCGCCGCCCCCCAUAGGGAUAUAUUUAAAAAUAAAUAUAUAUGUAUAUAAAAAUAUUCCUAAAACAAGCAGUUGAUAAAUGCAGCUAGUAAAUAACCACCCAUUAAAAAAAAAAAAAAGAAAAAAAAGAAAAAAAAAGAAAAAAAAAGAAAAGAAAAACACCCCGCACAAGCCAUAAUGAUGAUGAUGAUGAUGAUGACGGGAGGGGGGGAAAUAAAUAAAUAAAAGCGAGCGAGAGUCGGCGAGGGAGAGGGAGGCAGGUUCAAUUAUCUAAACAAAGAAAUCAUGGCGGAGUGUUUACAUUUGGCAGCCCAAAGCCUCUUGGAUUACGGAACCCCCCCCAAACCCAAGCGGCCCCCCCCGGCCCCCGCAGUUGCGGCUCGCCGGAGCCCGCCCGCCGACACCUCGCCGCGGCCCGGAGCCUGCACCAGAUGCUUUGAAGAGAUCUUGCUUGGGACUGAAGGACUGGGCUGAGGCAUUUCUAAGGCAGCUGAGGAGAACAGAGGAAGGAGCAGAUGAUGGCACCAAAUCUUGCCCCAGAGCUGAGCAGGGCUCAAGGAGCAGCCCCGUGUGAAGAAGCAGGUGGAGCUCUGCAAACUAUCAGCAUGCUGGAUUUUAUGGACCGUUUCUGGAGCUGAAGGACAACUGUCUGAGAAUUUCCAGCGUGCAGGUGGUAAAACACUGACUGCCAUGAACUUCAUCAGGGAAAAAAAAAAAGAAGGAAAAGCUGUGGUUUGGAAGCAGCUGGGUCGCCAACUGCAGGGUGCCAAAACCACCACAAGGAGACUGGGGCAUAGAGGCAUUUGUGGAGCAUUCUGUUUGCUAAUUGCUCAUGGAAUUUCAGGUAAGGAACAUCCAAUGUAAUUUGUUAUAAUAGGGAAUGGCCUGGGUUUUGCUUUCCAAGGUGGCUCUUUUCCAUCAUUAUUAUUUUUAUCUUUAUUGUUGUCAUUACAAAUGCCCAGCUCUCUCUGGCUGUGAGCACGGUUCACAGAGGGGCUGUGGGGCAGCACAGGGCGUUUUUAUCCAUGCACAUGCCAGGCAGUACCAGCACACACCUCCAGGCCCUGCUGUACCCCUGCUGUAUCCCAGGGCAGGAUGUGUUCUGGCCAUGAGAGGACAGAUCCCUCUCAAUGCCUCACCUCUCCAAACACAGGAAUCUGCUGAGGGUUCCUAAGUGCUGCUAGUGGGCUCAGUUUGCAAGUUUUGAGCUGGUUCUGUGCCCUGAAUCGCUGAGGAUUCCCAGGAACCGUUCAGGUCACUCCUUUCCCCUCCAGCUAUUGAGAGGUUCCUACUGUGCAAAAAUGUGCUGGAAAUUAUCACCAGCAGUGCAUCUCCAGUUUGCAUCUGGUUGCCAUCCUGCAACUUUAACUAGUCCUAAGACUUACUGCUAAUUAGCUGCCAGCUAAUGGUGAUCCCUGCCAGUGCUGCGGCAUUCCAGAGUCUGUGGGCAUUAAGGAGAAUUAGCGUUUGCUGACGGCCAUGGUGGGAUCUGCCUGUCUGCAGCAUUUCAGGGCUGCUGUUUGCUGGAAUGUUUGAUUGCCUCCCCCAGUAAUUAGCACUGACACUGUGCAAGUUUUUCAGGGGUCUCACUUGGCUGUGCAGAGACCAAAGAGACACUGGGCUCUGUCUGUGGUGAGGAGAGGUCAAUAAUAAUGCAUUUCCCAGUAAUAAUGUAUUUCCCUCCUUCUCUCCACUCCCCUGACACGGGUAACGUAGUGCCAAGGGAUGGAGUCAGUGGCUGCUCUGCUGCACUUUUCCCUGCUUUGUUUUCCUGUAUGAAAUGCUCUUUCACUGCUUUUUUUAAUGUGUAGAGAACAAUUUAAACAUUUUAACCCAAAGUCAAUGCCUCCUUGGUUUGGGGAUAUGAUGGUAGUUCAAAUGCUGCAGGAAUUUGGCACACCAGCAGUGAGUAACUCUGGUGGGGCCCUUCCAUGCCUGUUUAAAAGAGGGUGCAUAACCACAGUUAAAGCACAGGGAAUACAGAGAAAUACAGGCCCCUUGUAACUCCUGAGGGGUAGAUGAGCACAUGGCUGGUGCUUCUUCAGGAACACCAGUUGCCUGUUUGGAAAAAGAGGCGCUGGGGAAUGUCUCUGUCUCCCUGGUCAGCUUCCCAAAUCCACUCUGCAGGAGAGGCACGCGCUGCACAUCCCGCCGUGGCUCUGGCCUGGCCUGGCACUGUAGAAGCUUUUUCCAUGUGCUACUGUGGAGAGGAAGCUGCUCUCGCCCUCACCCAGAGGAAGAUGAGCCAUAGGAAUAUACAAGGGGAUUUUUUAUAGCUCGGGGGCCACGAGGGGAAGCAGUGGUCAUGAGCAGAGGCUGGAACUUGGCUGGUUAAGUAAAUCUCAGGCUGUGGCUGGUUUUAAUUUAUUUUUUGUUUUAUGUGCAGGAGACUAGGCCUUGCAGGCCUGGCUAAUAUCAAAGCCUGGGGUUUUGUAGAUUUUUAAUCAAGGUCCACUUUGGGGUGUUCUGCUUUCAGGGCUUGUGGAUGUGUAGGAUUUUUUUGUCAUGUUUUUCAUUUAUUCUUCAUGCAGUGUCUGGAUUUCUUUAGUUCAACUUUUCCGUUCUUCAGACUUGAGCCAAGUGAGCGAUUUCAAAUUACCCAGCACUUUCCAGAGAUUUUUGUUAUUGUUGUUGUUGUUUGGGGUUUUUUUGGUUUGGGUUAUUUCAUUUUUUCUUUUUUCUGAAGCAGAUUUGCAGUCCAGUUUCUCUGAAAAUCACAGAUGGGACUGCAAUCUCACCCCAUUGCCUCUCAAUAAUCUGGCAUUCUUUGCACUGUCUGAAUAGUUUAUUGUUCAUCAAAUCUGUAUGAAAUGAAUUUUAUAUAAAUUUUUUGUUUGUUUUGUCCCUCUGCUGGCAGGAAAAGUAAAUCCCGAAGUAUUUCAGCAGGUGCUAUUAAUAUGCAAAUAAUGGAGAGUACACUGGGUCUAAUAGACCUCCCAACUACAUGGGAGGUGUCGCUGUUGGAGCAAAUUAGCUUUCUGUAAUUUGCAUGCUUUUCACAGCCUCCUGGGAUUAUAUUUUAGAUCAGAGACAAUAAAAGCAUAUGCUGUUAGUUUUAAAUGUAACUAAUUUUAGACUUUGAAACCGUUUUAACCUAACUUCUUAGUGUUAAACUGUUAUUUGCACAGAAACUUUCCACAGAGCUUGUCAUUUGCACGGCCUUUCUGUUCCCCCAUUACCUGCUCCAUCUCUCUUUCCAGGCUGAAACAGAAGAAGGGAAUCGGCCAGGUGGCUGCAUCUUGAAAAACAGGUAUUUCUCACAAAAUCCAGAUUGUCCUAGCCUGAUUCUGAGUCUGCAUUCAGGUCCUGAUGGGGUCUAGGUUGAGCUUUAUGUCAAAGUUCUUCCCUCCCAUUUGGCAUCUCCAUGUGGUGUAAAUCCAUCCCUAAACAAUGCUGUGGCCCCUGCUGGCUGCUCACAGAGGGGAAGAGGCUGCUCAUAGCAUCAGAAAAUCUCUUUGCUCACCCAGCAAAGCAAACAGUCCUGAGCUGAUGUGGCACCAAUGCCCAGUGUGGCUGCCUGGCCUGUGCCUGGUGAGUCUGCUGGGAAACUCUGGAACAAGCGGGAAGACAAGCAGGGAUUUCAGAGCAGGCUCAGGCUGUAGAGUCACACAUUACUGACUUGUACUGACAUUAUCUGGUACUUUCCAAUUGGUAUUGACAGCAGAAAUGCCACAGUGGACGGCUGUGCUUUGGGACAAUGGGAAUGAUGGAGCCUAUGGAGCUGUGUCUGUGUUCCAGGUGCUGCCGCGGCUGCUUUGUGCUGGACUGCCCAGGUGGGUGACACAGGACAGCCACUGCAGCCCUGCCCCUUGUCCCCACCCUGCCCUUGCAGAGCUGGUAGGACCCGAUUCCUGCUGCAUGGAGGACUGCAUGUGAGGGCUGUGAGAGGAGCUGCAGACUGCAAGGUGUCGGUCUGGGGAAGGUGCAGAGGCAGCCCUUGUGUUCUGUCCCAGGGCCCGAGGGUGAGAUUCGGGAGUUCCCUGGGGCACAGCUGCUCCAUUGCUCACAGAUCUCUGUGCAGCGUGUCCUGAUCACUCGGGCUUGUGGGGUGGUGGCCAUCCUUUAUUUCAGGGGGGACAGAGAUCAGGAGUAGGAUCAGACGUGUGGAGGAGAUGGCAGCCAGGUCGAGCUCAAGUUAACAUUAUCAAAUUUAUUUCUGCUGUGGGAAAGGUGAGUGUGGCAUGAGAGAGUAAGUCUGAGAGGGAUCCUUUGAGACAAGAAAUUCCUGGGAUGCAGCUUUGGCCCUGCAGCAAUGUGGUGAGACUCUUCUGAAUGUUUGGGGCCACAACUGUGCCAUCAGUGUUUUAUAGGUGUGUUUCACAGACGAUGUAGAGAAGUAGUUUGCUUCCCAAGGAGUGCUCUUAAAGCUGGAAAAUACUGGGUGCUAAUCUUUUUCUCUCAUCUCACUCUAAUUUUUUUUCUAGCAUUAAUACCAGUGACUUCCCACUUCUGCUGCUUUUUAUUAAUGAGAUGUGGCUUGCCUGUUAUAAGCCUGGGCCCUGGAGUUGGAAGCACUUGCUUUUUGUUUAAAAAUGAAAACAAAAAGAGAGAAAAAAGGGCGCUGAUUACUCAGGUGUCGACAGAAAACAACUGCGAUGUUGUGCCAGAUGGCUGCAUUUGUGAAGCAGAGUGUAGUCAGAAGGGAAGUAGAAGGAGACAAGGCAAGUGUACAUCAAGAGUGUGAAAACAUGACCAAAAUACCUUCAGCCUUGUUUCACCAACACUGGAUUAGGAGGCAACUGUGGUGAGAUGCAAGCAAAGAAAAGCAGAAGGGGACACUGUUUGGAAAACAAAAAUGUCUUUCACAAAAGCUUUGAAUUAAGAAAAAUGAGAAGGUUUUGCAUUAAAUGGGCCAGUGCCUCAGAGCACUGUGCCAAGUGCCACUGCAAAGUGCCACAUGUGACACAGUCAAACCGUGAUGGCAGCAGGUUGUGUCCAGGCUCGGUGUGCACUGGAGCAGGCUGUCCCCGGUGACUCUAGCACUGGCCAGCGCCUGCCAUGGCUGCACCCAGCCGGGAAGGGUUUCCCAGGGAUGUGGGAGCUGGGCUGGCUCCUCCCUCUGCCCGCCCCCACACCGGCGGCACCAGGAGCCCUCGUGGCGGAGGUCUGGGUUAUGUCCACCCCAAAAGGGAGCACUUGUGACACCAGCACUGGCUGGUUUGUGCCUCAGGCCCUUUGGACGCGUUCCUCACCUCCUGCAGGAUCUUCACUCAACUUCUGCUGCCAGGGCAAAGUCCGUGCCAAGCUUGUAAAAGCCGAGCCCUUGGCAGGCCCAUGGGCGGGGGCUUUGUUACCCUUUUAUAUCCUGAAAUGGAGCCUGGGCACUUUCAACUUCGCUUGCAUGCUGAAGCUUUUGGCUGUCACACAGGGAAAAGUUUAGAAUAGUUUGAUCUCAGAUCACAAGUCCAAAUUUUAUUUUGUUUUCCGUGCUUAAGCUGGCUCUGCCCAGACUGCUUUGGAGCUCCACGCUCUCUCCUCCUCGGUGGUGUCUCGGAAAAAGGAGGCUCUGACAUGGCCACAGAGGGGCCAGUCUGUGAAGGUUUGGCCUCGUCUCUUGGCCUGGGUUGUAUCUUCGUGUACAAACUUGGUGGUGCUUCUGUUUUGUCACAAGUGUCUGAAAUUCUGGUGGUUUUAGGCUGCACUUUGAUUAGAACACAGCCACAAAAAUCUGUGGUAAUUUUCACCCAAACCAUUUCCACACAGCUUUCUCAACCCCCAACCCCAAAACUACUUCCCUUUUUCAUGUGUAUUUUAAAGCAAUGAACUUCAUUCAAAGAUACUGAAGAUAGGUUACGUUUCCAACAACAGGUACAGAGAAAGUGGCAGGAACAUGGAUCUCCCUCUGAUCCCUGCUCUGGUACAACUAAAGCUUGAAUAGCUUAUUUGAAACCUUGAUGAGAUCAUGAGCCCUG
Long non-coding RNA from Prinia subflava (tawny-flanked prinia), 8813 nucleotides. RefSeq lists it as uncharacterized. NCBI's taxonomy places the organism in Eukaryota, Metazoa, Chordata, Aves, Passeriformes, Cisticolidae. The record is from RefSeq and is a predicted model, not a curated record. The transcript has 6 exons.